UCCGUAGGGUGCGAGCGUUAAUCGGAAUUACUGGGCGUAAAGCGUGCGCAGGCGGUUCGUUGUGUCGGUGGUGAAAGCCCCGGGCUUAACCUGGGAAUGGCCAUGGAAACUGGCGAACUGGAGUGUGGCAGAGGGGGGUGGAAUUCCGCGUGUAGCAGUGAAAUGCGUAGAGAUGCGGAGGAACACCGAUGGCGAAGGCAGCCCCCUGGGCUAGCACUGACGCUCAGGCACGAAAGCGUGGGGAGCAAACAGG
This 253-nucleotide ribosomal RNA is filed under the name uncultured bacterium. RNAcentral's name for it is "partial 16S ribosomal RNA". It matches the Rfam family "Bacterial small subunit ribosomal RNA", at positions 524 to 776 of the family's 1533-position model. The record is from RNAcentral.